This 392-nucleotide ribosomal RNA is filed under the name uncultured bacterium. RNAcentral's name for it is "partial 16S ribosomal RNA". It matches the Rfam family "Bacterial small subunit ribosomal RNA", at positions 523 to 918 of the family's 1533-position model. The record is from RNAcentral.
AUACGUAGGGGGCAAGCGUUAUCCGGAAUUAUUGGGCGUAAAGAGUGCGUAGGUGGUUAUGUAAGCGUGAGGUUUAAGGCAGUGGCUUAACCACUGUUCGCCUUGCGAACUGCAUAACUUGAGUGCAGGAGGGGAAAGCGGAAUUCCUAGUGUAGCGGGAAAAUGCGCAGAUAUCUGGAAGAACACCGGUGGCGAAGGCGGACGACUGGCCAUGUACUGACGCUGAGGCGCGAAGGUGCGGGGAGCGAACAGGUUUAGAUACCCUGGUAGUCCGCACAGUAAACGAUGUGCACCAGGUGGCGGGGGGUAGCCCCCGGUACCGAAGCUAACGCAUUAAGUGCACCGCCUGGGGAGUAUGCUCGCAAGGGUGAAACUCAAAUGAAUUGACGGGG